GAUGAAGAACGUAGCGAAAUGCGAUAAGUAAUGUGAAUUGCAGAAUUCAGUGAAUCAUCGAAUCUUUGAACGCACAUUGCGCCCGCCAGUAUUCUGGCGGGCAUGCCUGUCCGAGCGUCAUUUCAACCCUCGAACCCCUCCGGGGGGUCGGCGUUGGGGAUCGGCCCUCCCUUAGCGGGUGGCCGUCUCCGAAAUACAGUGGCGGUCUCGCCGCAGCCUCUCCUGCGCAGUAGUUUGCACACUCGCAUCGGGAGCGCGGCGCGUCCACAGCCGUUAAACACCCAACUUCUGAAAUGUUGACCUCGGAUCAGGUAGGAAUACCCGCUGAACUUAAGCAUAUCAUAAGCGAGGA
RNAcentral lists this unclassified non-coding RNA (352 nucleotides) under soil metagenome. Its description in RNAcentral is "partial contains 5.8S ribosomal RNA, internal transcribed spacer 2, and large subunit ribosomal RNA". The stretch from base 1 to 120 matches the Rfam family "5.8S ribosomal RNA", at positions 35 to 154 of the family's 154-position model. The record is from RNAcentral.